AAAUAUACUAUGGUGUCCGUUUAUGCGGAAUAAUAGGGAAAAAAGUUAAAUUCUUUUACGGUGCCGCCGCUGUGCUGGCUUUUAUAAUCGUCUUUUUGUGCCACUGUAUUUUUUUGCGGGAAGGCAAGACGACAGCCUCAGUCAGAAGACCUGCCAUAAGUAUC
RNAcentral lists this non-coding RNA (164 nucleotides) under human gut metagenome. The record is from RNAcentral.